Non-coding RNA from Pelobates cultripes (western spadefoot toad), 289 nucleotides. Lineage: Eukaryota; Metazoa; Chordata; Amphibia; Anura; Pelobatidae. The record is from the annotation of a GenBank genome assembly.
GGGAGUGGGGUAUAGUGACACAGUAACAGAGGGAUUGAGGGCCCUGCUCAGUGAGUUUACAUGUUAGAGGGAGUGGGGUAUUGUGACAGUAACAGAGGGGUUGAGGGCCCUGCUCAUUGAGUUUACAUGUUACAGGGAGUGGGGUAUAGUGACACAGUAACAGAGGGAUUGAGGGCCCUGCUCAGUGAGUUUACAUGUUAGAGGGAGUGCGGUAUAGUGACACAGUAACAGAGGGAUUGAGGCCCUGCUCAGUGAGUUUACAUGUUAGAGGGAGUGGGGUAUAGUGACA